AAAAACUGACAAAGCUUCAAUGCUUAUUGUUAAUUAUUCGAGAUGUGAUUGUUUCAAGUAUGUAUACAGAAUCAAUUGUGAAUUCAUUUUGUGUUUGUUCAGUUAUUCGAUGUGAUUGUUUCAAUUUUUUUUAUUUUUUUUUUUAGCUUUUACAUUUUCGACCAAUUACAGCUUUGGUUGUUUGAAGCAUCGUAAGUUAAAUUAUUUUUUUUAAAAAAUUUACACGCUGAUGGUGACGUGGACUACCCAUGUGGCAUUUUCUGUCCAUGGCGUGUUUGGUGUCAUUCCGUAAGAGAGAAGGGUAUUUUUGAGCCAAAAAAUUUAAUGAAGCAGUAUUUUUGAGCCAAAAAACUAACGGAGGUAUUUUUAUUCUAUUUGGGAUAGUUCAAGGAUAUUUUUGACCCUUUUUCAAUAAGUAUAUAUUGUGAUGAUUUUAAAGAUUAAAUUUAUGUAUUUAGUACUGUUUUUAAGUGUUUCAUCUAUUAUACAAAUUCAUUCUUUUUGGAAAACCAGAUAACAUUCUUUACUACUGCAAAAUAUACUCCUCGGUGAUUGUAUCUACUGUCCAAGACUUAUUGCUCCUCAAUUUGGUGAUGUAGUUUCUAUCUAUGUAAUUUUGUUUAUAUCAAUGUUCGAUCCUACUUGUAAAUUAUGUGUACUUCUUGUUACUUGUUAGGUAACUUUUAUUUUCAGUGAAUCGAGAGAAAUACAACUAGAAAAGAAAACCAGCAAACAAAUCUCAUUGAAAUAUUUCUUAUUUUUAAUCGAUUCCUCUAAAAAUGGAUAAAAAAGAUUUGAGACGAUCAACUUUAACCAUUACUUCUAAUGGUUAUGGCAAUAAUUGUCAGUUAAUGAAGUAUAAUUUGCCACACUUUAUUGAUGUACAAAACGAAAAUAAAGGACUUUUUGGUUAGAAACACUUAUACCAUUGAUAAGUCCAUUCGGCAGGAACUUUCAUUGAUUAGCAAGUGGAUUUCCAUACCGAAUGCUUAGAGAAAAGGCAGGAAAAAACAACCCCCUUAAGUUCCCACUCGAGGAUCUUAGCAGUUCACUUGAUUGAAUACUUGAACUCUUGUCGGCAAGGGAUUAACUUUGAUGGAUUUUCAUGUGCAAACGUUGUUGGGCAUACUUAACUAGUUUCUCUACUUCUUUCUUGUUAUCAAUGAAACCAGUAUGAUCAGUAUCAGCAUCCUUCAUGACUCCACGAGCCUUCCACGAGCUGAACCACAUGUGUAGACUCUCAAGGGCUUCUGUUAGUUCUUCAGGGCUAAUGCGCUUGUCAUGAUCCAUGUCGAAUUGCUUAAUCCACACCUUGAAUUCCUGCACUGACAUAUCCCUAUCCGGCUGCUGCACUGGAAGCUCGAAACAACUCAUUAUUGCCAUCUCUUUCUUCACCUUUACUUAGCAAAGAGAACACUGCCCUUACUGGGGAUGUGAUGCCCUCCUGUUGAAACUUCCUUUGUAUAUUGGUUGGUUGUUAAAUUUGCACAACUUUUUUCAAGUGCUAGGGAAUCUAUUUGAUGGGCAUCUUUUACUUUUAAAUUUUUGUUCAAAAUGAAUUGAUUCAAUUCACUCUAAUAAUAUGAAUUAUUCUCCAUUAGUGGCUUUGAAGUGAUGCUGAUUCUAGCAACUUUAUUCCAACUCAAAUUGUGGAGAGAAA
Molecule: long non-coding RNA, 1660 nt
Filed under: Capsicum annuum
Lineage: Eukaryota; Viridiplantae; Streptophyta; Magnoliopsida; Solanales; Solanaceae
Description: long non-coding RNA (CANN_LNC002912)
Source: RNAcentral